GGCACCCUGCGCUGUUCGUGAUGAGGUAUACAUGCGUUGAGCCACAUUUUUUUGAACUGGGGGUAAGCAUACUAUCGGGCUAGUAGUAAGCCGUUAGGCCAGGCGAAACCCGUUGCAACAACGCCCCCACCUGCUCCUUGCAGGUUCAUACCGGUUGCUCACACGGCAGUUGCGGGGUCUUU
Molecule: non-coding RNA, 182 nt
Filed under: Anaerolineales bacterium
Lineage: Bacteria; Bacillati; Chloroflexota; Anaerolineae; Anaerolineales
Also listed under: 1 other name
Description: 6S RNA
Rfam family: 6S / SsrS RNA
About the family: E. coli 6S RNA was the first non coding RNA to be sequenced, but its function was unknown until recently. It consists of 184 nucleotides that fold into an extended hairpin structure with a large single-stranded internal bulge. The 6S RNA specifically associates with RNA polymerase holoenzyme containing the sigma70 specificity factor.
Source: RNAcentral